This 433-nucleotide ribosomal RNA is filed under the name uncultured bacterium. RNAcentral describes it as "partial 16S ribosomal RNA". It matches the Rfam family "Bacterial small subunit ribosomal RNA", at positions 29 to 507 of the family's 1533-position model. The record is from RNAcentral.
AACGAACGCUGGCGGCAUGCCUAACACAUGCAAGUCGAACGAGACCUUCGGGUCUAGUGGCGCACGGGUGCGUAACGCGUGGGAACCUGCCCUUAGGUUCGGAAUAACUCCCCGAAAGGGGUGCUAAUACCGGAUAAUGUCUUCGGACCAAAGAUUUAUCGCCUUUGGAUGGGCCCGCGUUGGAUUAGCUAGUUGGUAGGGUAAAAGCCUACCAAGGCGACGAUCCAUAGCUGGUCUGAGAGGAUGAUCAGCCACACUGGGACUGAGACACGGCCCAGACUCCUACGGGAGGCAGCAGUAGGGAAUAUUGGACAAUGGGCGAAAGCCUGAUCCGGCAAUGCCGCGUGAGUGAUGAAGGCCUUAGGGUUGUAAAGCUCUUUUACCCGGGAUGAUAAUGACAGUACCGGGAGAAUAAGCUCUGGCUAACUCCGUG